GAAAUGCGAUAAGUAAUGUGAAUUGUAGAAUUCCGUGAAUCAUCGAAUCUUUGAACGCACAUUGCGCCCUCUGGUAUUCCGGGGGGCAUGCCUGUCCGAGCGUCAUUGCGAACCCCUCAAGCACGGCUUGUGUGAUGGGCCCUCCCGCGUCUUGGUCGUCAAGACGGGCCCGAAAUGCAGUGGCGGCUUCGCGGUUAUCCGAUCAGCCAGAGCGUAUGGGGACUUUCUCUCUGUCACACGCCCGCGGCGCGGACCGACGCCUGUCGACCUUUAUUCAUCUUUUUCUCGGUUGACCUCGGAUCAGGUAGGGAUACCCGCUGAACUUAAGC
RNAcentral lists this unclassified non-coding RNA (329 nucleotides) under plant metagenome. Its description in RNAcentral is "partial contains 5.8S ribosomal RNA, internal transcribed spacer 2, and large subunit ribosomal RNA". The stretch from base 1 to 105 matches the Rfam family "5.8S ribosomal RNA", at positions 50 to 154 of the family's 154-position model. The record is from RNAcentral.